Molecule: ribosomal RNA, 483 nt
Filed under: uncultured bacterium
Lineage: Bacteria
Description: bacterial SSU rRNA
Rfam family: Bacterial small subunit ribosomal RNA
Source: RNAcentral
GACGAACGCUGGCGGCGUGCUUAACACAUGCAAGUCGAACGGAAAGGCCUCUUCGGAGGUACUCGAGUGGCGAACGGGUGAGUAACACGUGGGCAAUCUGCCCUGCACUUCGGGAUAAGCCUGGGAAACUGGGUCUAAUACCGAAUACGACCUUUAGACGCAUGUCUUUUGGUGGAAAGCUUUUGCGGUGUGGGAUGGGCCCGCGGCCUAUCAGCUUGUUGGUGGGGUGAUGGCCUACCAAGGCGACGACGGGUAGCCGGCCUGAGAGGGUGUCCGGCCACACUGGGACUGAGAUACGGCCCAGACUCCUACGGGAGGCAGCAGUGGGGAAUAUUGCACAAUGGGCGCAAGCCUGAUGCAGCGACGCCGCGUGGGGGAUGACGGCCUUCGGGUUGUAAACCUCUUUCAGCAGGGACGAAGCGAGAGUGACGGUACCUGCAGAAGAAGCACCGGCCAACUACGUGCCAGCAGCCGCAGUAACAC